Molecule: ribosomal RNA, 425 nt
Filed under: uncultured bacterium
Lineage: Bacteria
Description: partial 16S ribosomal RNA
Rfam family: Bacterial small subunit ribosomal RNA
Source: RNAcentral
GUGGGGAAUAUUGGACAAUGGGGGAAACCCUGAUCCAGCCAUGCCGCGUGAAUGAUGAAGGCCUUCGGGUUGUAAAGUUCUUUUGACGGGGACGAUGAUGACGGUACCCGUAGAAUAAGCUCCGGCUAACUUCGUGCCAGCAGCCGCGGUAAUACGAAGGGAGCUAGCGUUGUUCGGAAUUACUGGGCGUAAAGGUCGCGUAGGCGGUCUGAUAAGUCAGGUGUGAAAGCCCUGGGCUCAACCCAGGAACUGCGCUUGAUACUGACAGACUUGAAUUCGGUAGAGGUUAGUGGAAUUCCCAGUGUAGAGGUGAAAUUCGUAGAGAUUGGGAAGAACAUCCGUGGCGAAGGCGGCUAACUGGACCGACAUUGACGCUGAGGCGCGAAAGCGUGGGGAGCAAACAGGAUUAGAAACCCGGGUAGUCC